AUGUAGACGCUAGUCUGUCUGACAAUCUUAGAGAUUGGCUCUCAGUUCGUGGUUGUUUGGGGCUCUCAGUUCGUAGUUGUUUGGCGAAUGUGGCGUUGAUACAUACGUGUUUACCGCAGUGUUACGAUAUAUUUUGCCGUUAAAAGUACUGUUAUAUAAAAGAGUUCCAGCUGUUCCGAUUGAUUCCUACAGGUAGUUCCAUAGUGUUGUAAUGGCCGUUCCUCAAAGCGAACUAAAAAUACUGGUUGCUGGAGAUGUUCUUGGACGGUUUGAGCUUCUUUUCGAAAAAGUU
Stegodyphus dumicola is the source of this 292-nucleotide long non-coding RNA. Lineage: Eukaryota; Metazoa; Arthropoda; Arachnida; Araneae; Eresidae. The record is from RefSeq and is a predicted model, not a curated record.